GGCCUGGCAUAUCAGAACCACAUAAAUAUGAGGCUUUAAGGCUCACUGAUGCGCAAUGUACUCUAAUGCCAUCAAGUUAUGAUGUGGACAGUGCUCUAUUGUUCACCACUGGCCGACAAAUUCCAGUCAGUCCUUGAGCAGCAGUUGCCCCACAGACAAACUCACCAGUUUUAUAGUUUCACACAAUGUCAUAUGAGAUGAAAUAUCCCUUUGGUCAGUGUGAGUCAGCUGUCCUGUUUCUGUGUCCUCCCACAUCCUUGUGCCUCCCUAGCUCCCUCGCUGGCAGGACAAAACAAGAAGUUGAAACAUCCUUAGGUUACUGCAGUGCUGCUCAGCAACAACUAUGACAUCAGAGUGUUAUCAACAUUGUUUUCCUCCUAAAGCUGAAACAUGGCCUCAUUCCAGACACUAUGAAGAAAAUCACUCUGUCUCAGCUGAAAGCAGGACAUUUGCAUAUUCUGUGCUGCUCAGAAACUGGGGUGCUUCUCAAGAUUACGUGCAGAAAUCCUUUACACCUUGAUGUUUAGACACCUUAUCAAUACAAAUCCUUGGCUUAAAGUACUGACCACGUCUGGGACUAGGAGUGGAUCCAGCUGCACGUAGGCUACUUGUCUCUAUGGUUCAUGGAGUUUAUGAAGUGUGAGGGUCCACUCUGAACCUCUCAGCAGGAGGGCCUCCUAUAUCUGUGUGUUUAUUCUCUACAAAAUAAAUGAUCAAGUGUAUCCA
Molecule: long non-coding RNA, 726 nt
Filed under: Phasianus colchicus (ring-necked pheasant)
Lineage: Eukaryota; Metazoa; Chordata; Aves; Galliformes; Phasianidae
Description: lncRNA (ENSPCLG00000016431.1)
Source: RNAcentral